GCCGAGGUGGCGGAAUGGCAGACGCGCUGCGUUCAGGGCGCAGUGUCCUUACGGAUGUGUGGGUUCAAAUCCCUCCCUCGGCACCA
Molecule: transfer RNA, 86 nt
Filed under: Dehalococcoidia bacterium
Lineage: Bacteria; Bacillati; Chloroflexota; Dehalococcoidia
Description: tRNA-Leu
Rfam family: tRNA
About the family: Transfer RNA (tRNA) molecules are approximately 80 nucleotides in length.
Source: RNAcentral